Molecule: ribosomal RNA, 740 nt
Filed under: uncultured bacterium
Lineage: Bacteria
Description: bacterial SSU rRNA
Rfam family: Bacterial small subunit ribosomal RNA
Source: RNAcentral
AGAGUUUGAUCCUGGCUCAGAACGAACGCUGGCGGCAGGCUUAACACAUGCAAGUCGAACGCACCGCAAGGUGAGUGGCAGACGGGUGAGUAACGCGUGGGAACGUGCCCUUCAGUUCGGGAUAACCCAGGGAAACUUGGGCUAAUACCGGAUACGUGCGAGAGCAGAAAGAUUUAUCGCUGAAGGAUCGGCCCGCGUCUGAUUAGCUAGUUGGUAGGGUAAUGGCCUACCAAGGCGACGAUCAGUAGCUGGUCUGAGAGGAUGAUCAGCCACAUUGGGACUGAGACACGGCCCAAACUCCUACGGGAGGCAGCAGUGGGGAAUAUUGGACAAUGGGCGCAAGCCUGAUCCAGCCAUGCCGCGUGAGUGAUGAAGGCCUUAGGGUUGUAAAGCUCUUUCGGCGGGGACGAUAAUGACGGUACCCGCAGAAGAAGCCCCGGCUAACUUCGUGCCAGCAGCCGCGGUAAUACGAAGGGGGCUAGCGUUGCUCGGAAUCACUGGGCGUAAAGGGCGCGUAGGCGGCCAUUCAAGUCGGGGGUGAAAGCCUGUGGCUCAACCACAGAAUUGCCUUCGAUACUGUUUGGCUUGAGACCGGAAGAGGUAAGUGGAACUGCGAGUGUAGAGGUGAAAUUCGUAGAUAUUCGCAAGAACACCAGUGGCGAAGGCGGCUUACUGGUCCGGUUCUGNNGCUGAGGCGCGAAAGCGUGGGGAGCAAACAGGAUUAGAUACCCUAGUAGUCC